Haliotis rubra (blacklip abalone) is the source of this 194-nucleotide long non-coding RNA. RefSeq lists it as uncharacterized. NCBI's taxonomy places the organism in Eukaryota, Metazoa, Mollusca, Gastropoda, Lepetellida, Haliotidae. The transcript is spliced from 3 exons. The record is from RefSeq and is a predicted model, not a curated record.
CGAUAAUCACUGUGGCGACGUCAACCAGGAAGUGUUUAUUAUACCCGGUGAUCGUCCAUGCUUCGGUAUCUCUAAAGAGACGAGCUGUUAGUCUAGCUGAAAGAAGUGUACCAAGACAAAACAACAAAACCAUAGUCUUGAGAAAUGGCCACCGCUAAGAAGCUGACAGACAACUAUCUGACCUGUGUCAUCUG